Molecule: ribosomal RNA, 598 nt
Filed under: Bacillus sp. CH176b_5C
Lineage: Bacteria; Bacillati; Bacillota; Bacilli; Caryophanales; Bacillaceae
Description: bacterial SSU rRNA
Rfam family: Bacterial small subunit ribosomal RNA
Source: RNAcentral
AUACAUGCAGUCGAGCGGACCGACGGGAGCUUGCUCCCUUAGGUCAGCGGCGGACGGGUGAGUAACACGUGGGUAACCUGCCUGUAAGACUGGGAUAACUCCGGGAAACCGGGGCUAAUACCGGAUGCUUGAUUGAACCGCAUGGUUCAAUCAUAAAAGGCGGCUUCGGCUGCCGUUUACAGAUGGACCCGCGGCGCAUUAGCUAGUUGGUGAGGUAACGGCUCACCAAGGCGACGAUGCGUAGCCGACCUGAGAGGGUGAUCGGCCACACUGGGACUGAGACACGGCCCAGACUCCUACGGGAGGCAGCAGUAGGGAAUCUUCCGCAAUGGACGAAAGUCUGACGGAGCAACGCCGCGUGAGUGAUGAAGGUUUUCGGAUCGUAAAGCUCUGUUGUUAGGGAAGAACAAGUACCGUUCGAAUAGGGCGGUACCUUGACGGUACCUAACCAGAAAGCCACGGCUAACUACGUGCCAGCAGCCGCGGUAAUACGUAGGUGGCAAGCGUUGUCCGGAAUUAUUGGGCGUAAAGCGCGCGCAGGCGGUUUCUUAAGUCUGAUGUGAAAGCCCCCGGCUCAACCGGGGAGGGUCAUUGGAAA